UACAUAGGGGGCAAGCGUUAUCCGGAAUUAUUGGGCGUAAAGAGUGCGUAGGCGGCUUUUUAAGUCAGUUGUGAAAUCCCAGGGCUUAACCCUGGAGGGUCAACUGAAACUAAAAGGCUUGAAUCAAGUAGAGGUAAGUGGAAUUCCAUGUGUAGCGGUAAAAUGCGUAGAUAUAUGGAGGAACACCAGUGGCGAAGGCGGCUUACUGGGCUUGAAUUGACGCUGAGGCACGAAAGCGUGGGGAGCAAACAGG
This 253-nucleotide ribosomal RNA is filed under the name uncultured bacterium. Its description in RNAcentral is "partial 16S ribosomal RNA". It matches the Rfam family "Bacterial small subunit ribosomal RNA", at positions 524 to 776 of the family's 1533-position model. The record is from RNAcentral.